Molecule: non-coding RNA, 100 nt
Filed under: Paenibacillus sp.
Lineage: Bacteria; Bacillati; Bacillota; Bacilli; Caryophanales; Paenibacillaceae
Description: Guanine sequence
Rfam family: Purine riboswitch aptamer
About the family: Riboswitches are metabolite binding domains within certain messenger RNAs that serve as precision sensors for their corresponding targets. Allosteric rearrangement of mRNA structure is mediated by ligand binding, and this results in modulation of gene expression.
Source: RNAcentral
ACAAAUAGCGCAUAACUACUUCGUAUAAUCCUGGGGAUUGGCCCGGGAGUCUCUACGAGAUCACCCUAAUGAUCUGGCUACGAAGAGGAGAAGGCUGAGC